UGGGUUGUGGCUCAGUGGUAGAGCAUUUGCCUGGCAUGUGUGGGGCCCUGGGUUUGAUACUCAGCACCACAU
Non-coding RNA from Ictidomys tridecemlineatus (thirteen-lined ground squirrel), 72 nucleotides. The record is from Rfam. Lineage: Eukaryota; Metazoa; Chordata; Mammalia; Rodentia; Sciuridae.